This 253-nucleotide ribosomal RNA is filed under the name uncultured bacterium. Its description in RNAcentral is "partial 16S ribosomal RNA". It matches the Rfam family "Bacterial small subunit ribosomal RNA", at positions 524 to 776 of the family's 1533-position model. The record is from RNAcentral.
GACAGAGGGUGCAAACGUUGUUCGGAAUUACUGGGCGUAAAGCGCGUGUAGGCGGCUUGGCAAGUCGGGUGUGAAAGCCCCGGGCUCAACCUGGGAAGUGCACUCGAAACUGCUUGGCUUGAGCACUGGAGAGGGAAACGGAAUUCUCGGUGUAGAGGUGAAAUGCGUAGAUAUCUGGAGGAACACCCGUGGUGCAGACGGCUUGCUGGGCCGUGACUGACGCUGAGGCACGAAAGCGUGGGUAGCAAACAGG